Molecule: transfer RNA, 98 nt
Filed under: Amniculicola lignicola CBS 123094
Lineage: Eukaryota; Fungi; Ascomycota; Dothideomycetes; Pleosporales; Amniculicolaceae
Rfam family: tRNA
About the family: Transfer RNA (tRNA) molecules are approximately 80 nucleotides in length. Their secondary structure includes four short double-helical elements and three loops (D, anti-codon, and T loops). Further hydrogen bonds mediate the characteristic L-shaped molecular structure. tRNAs have two regions of fundamental functional importance: the anti-codon, which is responsible for specific mRNA codon recognition, and the 3' end, to which the tRNAs corresponding amino acid is attached (by aminoacyl-tRNA synthetases). tRNAs cope with the degeneracy of the genetic code in two manners: having more than one tRNA (with a specific anti-codon) for a particular amino acid; and 'wobble' base-pairing, i.e. permitting non-standard base-pairing at the 3rd anti-codon position.
Source: Rfam by way of RNAcentral
GGUGAGAUGGCCGAGUUGGUUAUGGCGCCAGGUUAAGGUUACCUUAACACUAUUUCCUGGUCACGAAAGUGGCGUGGGUUCGAAUCCCACUCUCAUCA